GGAGAGGUGGCCGAGUGGCCGAAGGCGCUCCCCUGCUAAGGGAGUAUAGGCUUUAUACCCUAUCGAGGGUUCGAAUCCCUCCCUCUCCGCCA
This 92-nucleotide transfer RNA is filed under the name Thalassomonas viridans. RNAcentral's name for it is "tRNA-Ser". It matches the Rfam family "tRNA". From Rfam's summary of the family: Transfer RNA (tRNA) molecules are approximately 80 nucleotides in length. RNAcentral also lists the same sequence under 3 other names. Lineage: Bacteria; Pseudomonadati; Pseudomonadota; Gammaproteobacteria; Alteromonadales; Colwelliaceae. The record is from RNAcentral.